Molecule: ribosomal RNA, 490 nt
Filed under: uncultured bacterium
Lineage: Bacteria
Description: partial 16S ribosomal RNA
Rfam family: Bacterial small subunit ribosomal RNA
Source: RNAcentral
AAUGAACGCUGGCGGCAUGCCUUACACAUGCAAGUCGAACGGCAGCAUGACCUAGCUUGCUAGGUUGAUGGCGAGUGGCGCACGGGUGAGUAAUGCAUCUGAACGUGCCUUUUAGUGGGGGAUAACGUAGCGAAAGUUACGCUAAUACCGCAUAUUCUCUGAGGAGGAAAGCAGGGGACCUUCUGGCCUUUCGCUAGAAUAGCUGCCGAUGUGGGAUUAGCUAGUUGUUGAGGUAAAGGCUCACCAAGGCAACGAUCCGUAGCGGGUCUGAGAGGAUGAUCAGCCACACUGGGACUGAGACACGGCCAAGACUCCUACGGGAGGCAGCAGUGGGGAAUUUUGGACAAUGGGCGCAAGCCUGAUACAGCCAUGCCGCGUGAGUGAAGAAGGCCUUCGGGUUGUAAAGCUCUUUCGGCUGGGAAGAAAUCGCACCCUCUAAUACAGGGUGUGGAUGACGGUACCAGAAUAAGAAGCACCGGCUAACUACGUG